RNAcentral lists this ribosomal RNA (553 nucleotides) under Pseudoalteromonas lipolytica. RNAcentral's name for it is "bacterial LSU rRNA". It matches the Rfam family "Bacterial large subunit ribosomal RNA", at positions 964 to 1522 of the family's 2925-position model. Lineage: Bacteria; Pseudomonadati; Pseudomonadota; Gammaproteobacteria; Alteromonadales; Pseudoalteromonadaceae. The record is from RNAcentral.
CGUAAAGUACUAUCCGGGAGACACACGGCGGGUGCUAACGUCCGUCGUGAAGAGGGAAACAACCCAGACCGCCAGCUAAGGUCCCAAAGUCAUAGUUAAGUGGGAAACGAUGUGGAAAGGCCCAGACAGCCAGGAGGUUGGCUUAGAAGCAGCCAUCCUUUAAAGAAAGCGUAAUAGCUCACUGGUCGAGUCGGUCUGCGCGGAAGAUGUAACGGGGCUAAACUAUGCACCGAAGCUGCGGAUUCAAAAUUUAUUUUGAGUGGUAGGGGAGCGUUCUGUAAGCCGUUGAAGGUGACCCGGGAGGGUUGCUGGAGGUAUCAGAAGUGCGAAUGCUGACAUGAGUAACGAUAAUGCGGGUGAAAAACCCGCACGCCGGAAGACCAAGGGUUCCUAUCCCAUGUUAAUCAGGGUAGGGUAAGUCGACCCCUAAGGCGAGGCCGAAAGGCGUAGUCGAUGGGAAACGGGUUAAUAUUCCCGUACUUGGUAUAAUUGCGAUGGGGGGACGGAGCAGGCUAAACAAGCAUGGCGUUGGUUGUCCAUGUGAAAGUGAGUA